This 73-nucleotide transfer RNA is filed under the name Stegodyphus mimosarum. It matches the Rfam family "tRNA". From Rfam's summary of the family: Transfer RNA (tRNA) molecules are approximately 80 nucleotides in length. Their secondary structure includes four short double-helical elements and three loops (D, anti-codon, and T loops). Further hydrogen bonds mediate the characteristic L-shaped molecular structure. tRNAs have two regions of fundamental functional importance: the anti-codon, which is responsible for specific mRNA codon recognition, and the 3' end, to which the tRNAs corresponding amino acid is attached (by aminoacyl-tRNA synthetases). tRNAs cope with the degeneracy of the genetic code in two manners: having more than one tRNA (with a specific anti-codon) for a particular amino acid; and 'wobble' base-pairing, i.e. permitting non-standard base-pairing at the 3rd anti-codon position. The record is from Rfam by way of RNAcentral. Lineage: Eukaryota; Metazoa; Arthropoda; Arachnida; Araneae; Eresidae.
GCCUUCGUGGUGUAGUGGUCAGCAUGCUGGAGGCAUAUUCCAGAGGUCCGUGGUUCGAAUCCCGGAGAAGGUG